RNAcentral lists this unclassified non-coding RNA (404 nucleotides) under soil metagenome. RNAcentral's name for it is "partial contains 5.8S ribosomal RNA, internal transcribed spacer 2, and large subunit ribosomal RNA". The stretch from base 1 to 122 matches the Rfam family "5.8S ribosomal RNA", at positions 35 to 154 of the family's 154-position model. The record is from RNAcentral.
GAUGAAGAACGUAGCGAAAUGCGAUACCUGGUGUGAAUUGCAGAAUCCCGUGAACCAUCGAGUCUUUGAACGCAAGUUGCGCCCGAAGCCGUUAGGCCGAGGGCACGCCUGCCUGGGUGUCACACAUCGUUGCCCCAAUGCCAAUCGCCUCACUUUGUAGGUAUUUGCUUAGGGUGAAUGUUGGCCUCCCGUGAGCUUUGUCUCACGGUUGGUUGAAAAUCGAGUGCAUGGUGUCGGGUGUACCAUGAUGGAUGGUGGUUGAGUGAUGAUGCUCGAGACCAAUCAUGGGUAACUCCACCAGAAUUGGGCUCGGUGACCCACAUGCGUCCCUUGGAUGCUCCCUAAGGAGACCUCAGGUCAGGCGGGGCUACCCGCUGAGUUUAAGCAUAUCAAUAAGCGGAGGA